Molecule: long non-coding RNA, 723 nt
Organism: Phyllostomus hastatus (greater spear-nosed bat)
Lineage: Eukaryota; Metazoa; Chordata; Mammalia; Chiroptera; Phyllostomidae
Exons: 3
Source: RefSeq, a predicted model, not a curated record
GCGGGGGCUGAACAAGUGCUGCGGGAGUGGCGGAGGAGUUUGGAGGUGAUUGGACUGGGAAUGGUGACUGUUAUCAUGGCGUUUGGACACUAAGAUGGUUUCGUCGGGCUGCGUGUAGCAGGUAUAAAAGUAAAACACAAAUACAUUCUCCUCCGCCUUCUUAUUAUAUUUGGAUUCGUUUUCCUUCUUGCUGGAGUAUGUCCUCAGAUGACUCCUUGGGUAGUGACCACACUUCGGCAGGCGGGUACGUGGCAGUCUUGGAUGAGACCAAGAAGGAAACGAACUCUCAAGUGCCUGAAAGCCCGUCCGGAUCAAGCCCUGCUGCCCUCCCAUUAUGUGGACUGAAGAAUUUGUUGGCUAGAUUCUCCACGUGCACCCACUGGAGCUGACGUGUGCCGUAGGGGAGAGAGAUUUGGGAAAGGCUCAAACACAGAACUGAUACGCAGCCCACAGUUGCAUCUCUGAGCAGAUGGAGGCAGGAGAUACGAAGUUAAGUACCGGAGUCCUCUGAACACGUAGGGCAGACGGGUGGACGGGGUUCUCCUGGGUCCCCAAGGAAGUCGGGCAUUUCUUCAAGUUGUAUCAGCGUUUGCUCUUCUCUAGAAGGUGUGAUCGCCUCCACUUUGUGGGUACCUGGGGCCCUAUCCACCUGCAGAGAGGGUGCUGCGCCCCCGACCUGAUGCCCUGCCUUUCUGCACAAAAUACAACAGUGUAGGGUUUUUA